CUAUUUUUAAAGAUUUCUUAUUCUGAGUUAUUUCUGAGUUUAUUUCAUUUUGCAGCUUUUGUGAUCUAAAUUACUUUUAAUCUGUUUGGUUACCUACAAGAAUGAUUAAGUAGACUUUUUAAUAUCUCAAGGAAACUAUGUUUAUAUUUUUUGUUAACUAAGGUACUAAAAUCAGAAAAUAUUAAUAACAAUAAUUGCUCAUUUUUAUAAUAAUGGGUUAAGUUGCCUGUGUAGUUUUUGUUUGGUUUUUAUAAGCAGAAUACACAAUUGAAGGUGUGAGUCUUGAAAUAAAAUAUCUAAUCAGCUGGAUUUCUGAAAAUGUUAUAGGGAGUCGCCUGACCAAGAUCUUUUAGAACAAAGCACACUAUAUGCAGUGGGUUUUUUUGCUAUCAAAUAAAAUUGAACUGAUGUGCACAGGUAUCUGUAAUCGGAGGUCCAUAAAGUGUGUGGUUGUGCUUGCUUACUAUUUAUUUGAAAAAAUAGGUGAUGGAUUCUGAGUCCUAUAGCUUGAGUCAUAGAGCUCUGAAGUCUGUCAGUCCCAGAUUUAGAUUGAAGAUCAAACUUUGACAAAUAAAGGUGAUUUGGGAAAUGUUUGUCCUUAAUAUUUAGAAGAGUACCUUGUCCAAGUUAGAGAUAGUAAGACUCAAGUAAGUCAGAAGAACUGUGAUUGUUGUAAGUUGGUUUCUCUUAAUUGAAAGGGAAAAUAUAUUAAUGCUGUAAGCAUUACUGCUGAUAAUUCCUCACAUUUAUUUCUUACCACCCUUCAAUUUGAGUCACCAGUCUGUUGCCCAACACCUGUUUAUCUGCAUGGCUCCCAGGAUUGUUUCCUCACCUUUCACCCUCCCACUGGCAGUAAUCUUACUGUAAGUUCGGAAGCAAUGCCAGAUUCCUUAUGCACUGCUUUCGUGGCUGGUUUCCUUACUGACCUGAGGAGCCUGCCGUCAACUGCUUUGAAGGACUUCAUUUACUGUGCAGCAGAAGUAUAAUAGAAACCCAGGAAUAAAAGAAGGUGUUCUUUACUACAGCUUGAAGGUCUCCUGCAGGAUUUUAUCCUAUUUUUCUCCGUGUAUUAUGGACGGGUUCUCUCAACGAGAGUAAGUGGUGCAUAAGAGUACCAAACACCGGGAAUCAAACUGAAAGAACAAAGAUCAUUAUUUAUGUCAGCCUCAGUUCAUUAUAUAUGUCAGCCCGAAGAAAAAGGGAGAUUCUUGAUUCAAGACUAGUACAUCAUUUCACGUGGCGGCAGAAUGCCCGGGAUGUUAACAAAGGCUCCUGAAAGGCUGAACCAUCUAUGAAUGUCGUUUUAGUCUAGCUGGCCUUACUAUUUCUAAACACAGUGGAAUUGAUCAGCAUUUUCAGGGUUUUUUUUUAAUAAAUAAAUAUGUGGAAUCAGAA
Long non-coding RNA from Balaenoptera acutorostrata (minke whale), 1395 nucleotides. RefSeq lists it as uncharacterized. The record is from RefSeq and is a predicted model, not a curated record. Lineage: Eukaryota; Metazoa; Chordata; Mammalia; Artiodactyla; Balaenopteridae. The transcript has 2 exons.